RNAcentral lists this ribosomal RNA (468 nucleotides) under uncultured bacterium. Its description in RNAcentral is "partial 16S ribosomal RNA". It matches the Rfam family "Bacterial small subunit ribosomal RNA", at positions 28 to 507 of the family's 1533-position model. The record is from RNAcentral.
GACGAACGCUGGCGGCGUGCUUAACACAUGCAAGUCGAACGGAAAGGCCCUGCUUUUGUGGGGUGCUCGAGUGGCGAACGGGUGAGUAACACGUGAGUAACCUGCCCUUGACUUUGGGAUAACUUCAGGAAACUGGGGCUAAUACCGGAUAGGAGCUCCUGCUGCAUGGUGGGGGUUGGAAAGGUUCGGCGGUUGGGGAUGGACUCGCGGCUUAUCAGCUUGUUGGUGGGGUAGUGGCUUACCAAGGCUUUGACGGGUAGCCGGCCUGAGAGGGUGACCGGCCACAUUGGGACUGAGAUACGGCCCAGACUCCUACGGGAGGCAGCAGUGGGGAAUAGUGCACAAUGGGCGGAAGCCUGAUGCAGCAACGCCGCGUGCGGGAUGACGGCCUUCGGGUUGUAAACCGCUUUCGCCUGUGACGAAGCGUGAGUGACGGUAAUGGGUAAAGAAGCACCGGCUAACUACGUG